Molecule: long non-coding RNA, 388 nt
Organism: Peromyscus californicus insignis
Lineage: Eukaryota; Metazoa; Chordata; Mammalia; Rodentia; Cricetidae
Exons: 2
Source: RefSeq, a predicted model, not a curated record
CUCCACCCACUUGUGGCCCGCUAAGGAAGCUGUCACCCAGUUAAGGUAGCUUGGAAGGAGGACAAGCUUGCCACCUGCUGCUGGACUGGUGCCGCAGAUACCCUAGCUGGAGGCCUCCAACUUCCUCAAAGCCAUGGGCAAAGGCAGAGCUGUGACACUCGGGAUAUUGCCAAAGCCCUCCCUGGGCACCACUCGACCAGCAUGACCGAAGGGUGAGACCGCAACACACCGUGAAGGAAAGAGGAAACCCACACACCCGAAAGGGGAGGCUGAGCCUGCCAGUCCCCGGAGUCAGGGUGAGGAGCGGCACCUUCUCCUAUCCCACCAGGUCACACCCGUGCCUGGGUUAAAUAGUGAGUUCCAGGCCAGCCAGGGUUACAGAUCAAGA